AUUGAACGCUGGCGGCAGGCCUAACACAUGCAAGUCGAACGGUAACAGGAAGAAGCUUGCUUCUUUGCUGACGAGUGGCGGACGGGUGAGUAAUGUCUGGGAAACUGCCUGAUGGAGGGGGAUAACUACUGGAAACGGUAGCUAAUACCGCAUAGCGUCGCAAGACCAAAGAGGGGGACCUUCGGGCCUCUUGCCAUCGGAUGUGCCCAGAUGGGAUUAGCUAGUAGGUGGGGUAACGGCUCACCUAGGCGACGAUCCCUAGCUGGUCUGAGAGGAUGACCAGGCACCCUGGAACUUGAAAACGGGCCAAACCCCUACGGGAGGCAGCAGUGGGGAAUUUUUGAAAAUGGGGGCAAGCCGGAUGCAACCAUGCCCGGGGUAUUGAAAAGGCCUUCGGGUUUUAAAGUACCUUCAGCGGGGAGGAAGGGAGUAAAGUUAAUACCUUUGCUCAUUGACGUUACCCGCAGAAGAAGCACCGGCUAACUCCGU
This 489-nucleotide ribosomal RNA is filed under the name uncultured bacterium. RNAcentral describes it as "partial 16S ribosomal RNA". It matches the Rfam family "Bacterial small subunit ribosomal RNA", at positions 30 to 506 of the family's 1533-position model. The record is from RNAcentral.